Molecule: RNA transcript, 5174 nt
Organism: Varanus komodoensis (Komodo dragon)
Lineage: Eukaryota; Metazoa; Chordata; Lepidosauria; Squamata; Varanidae
Gene name: zinc finger protein with KRAB and SCAN domains 7-like
Exons: 15
Source: RefSeq, a predicted model, not a curated record
GCUCAGGGCGAAGGAAGGGAGAGGCGAAAGAGAAAGGCCGGCGUGCGGGUGGACGUAGGUUUAAGAAAACAUUUCCAGGAUCUGAAAUUGCAAAAAAGCGGAGGCCGGGCUUAUAAUGCGUGCCGGCUAGACGCAAAGCGGGUUUUCCCGGGAAGGCGGAUUUGCAAGCUGCCGCCCUGCGCGGAAGUUUCCUAACCUUGGAGCAACUGGGUCCUAACCUGCUGUACCUGCUGAAGACUCCCUGUGAUGCCCUGUGUGCUACAGCCCUGCGGAAGAAAACUCUGCAUCUUUUACUAUCUCCCCUUUGCAGGGGGGCUUUUUAAAAAAUAAGCUGGAGCUUCUGAAAGUAGCAUUCAAAAUACCGUAGGAGCAUCCUGUUACUAAUUUAACUUAUCCUCAGGGUCAGAGCCUGGAGAAAGAUAGGUUUCUGUUGUGCACAUAGCCUCCAAUUCUAGAAGCAAGACGUAGACAUGGAGAAGAGCUUAGAGAGCCCUGGAAAAGUCCCACGCAUCGUCCAGGUGAUGUACUUCAAAGGGCUGCCAAGGCAGUUCAGCCAACAGACAGACAUGGGGCUGCCCCAGCAGUGGGAAGCCCAGUGGCAAGAAUUCCUGAAGACGCUGCAGCCUGCUCAUGUGGGAUGGGGGAACCCACCCAUGGCGGAUACGGUGCCCUGGGAUGACGCGAAGGGAUUCCUGGCUGCCUUCGAGCAAGUCGCCGAAGCCUGCCGGUGGCCCCGCGAAGAGUGGGUGGGGCGGCUCCUGCCUGCGCUGAGGGGUGGAGUGGAGCAGCUCUUUUGCAGGCUGGAUCCCAGGGACAGGGGGGACUACUUGAAGGUGAAAGCAGCCAUCCUGCGAGCGGAUGCCAUCAGGGCGGAGGCGCGACGCAAGCACUUCCGGCAGUGCUGUUACCAGGAGCUGGAGGGGCCACGUCGGGCUUACGUCACGCUCCAGGAGCUGUGCCGGCAGUGGCUGAAACCGGAGAAACACACCAAGGAGCAGAUCCUGGAGCUGAUCAUCCAAGAGCAGCUCCUGGCCCUGUUGCCGCCGGAGGUGCAGAGCUGGGUGCAGGAAUGUGGGCCGGAGGACUGCAUCGAGACGGUCGCGUUGGCAGAGGAUUUCCUGAUGAGUGGCCGUCGCCGUCAUGCAGCCAAGGCAUGGGACUGGCAGGUGCCGACUGCCAGUUCCCUGGAUGCAGAGAGGCCUCAGCGACAGCACUGCGCAGGAGUCAGUCGAAAUGGCGAUCGGGAAGCGGGCUUGAUGGCCAGCGAAGCAGCACCCGCGAGGAACCCUGGCUUGGUGUUUCCUCCUGAGGGUCAGGAAGCGGCUGGGGUUGCACCGCCAGAGGAGCCUGUGGGUGUGAAGGAUGCGCUGGACCUCAGCCAGACACCUCUGCACUGGGAAGUCAUGCGGGAGAACAGUGGCAGCAGCAGCGGCAGCGCUGUAGAAGGGCUUCUGAUUCCCACACCUGAGAUGGACACUCAGCCUGGUCAACAAGAAGCCGUUUUUGCCCCGAGACCUGAACAUGGAGAGGCAGUCCCCGACCACUUCUUGGGUGGUGGGAAUCUCAACAAGAUCAAAAUUGAGCCUUCUCAGCAAGCGGUUGCAGAAGCAGAAGACACAUUUGUGGCAUCCUCAGUCGAAUUAACAGAUGACACUUCCUUGAGUCUUGAAACUGACGAGGUCAGUCCUGGAAAAAAAUUGUGCCCAGGGAAACCGCAAGGCCAGCAGCCAGAGAAAUCCACGCGGCGUCGGCGAAAAACCGUGAAAAAGAAAGGCAGAAAUUAUCCACCAGAGAAAAAGCACAUUUGUUCUGAAUGUGGACAUAAAGCCUAUUACUUGUCCGAUCUGCUGAGACACAUGAAAACCCACUCGAAAAAAGAGGUGUUCCAGUGCCCUGAAUGUGGGAAAACGUACAAAGGAAAAUCAACGUUUGAGACACACCAGAGAAUCCACCAGCCCCUGGGUGAUUCCCGCAGCUACAAGGUGACACGCUCGUGCAGUCAGCUGAAGCAAGGGUUCAUAUGCCCCACCUGCGGACUGUGCAAAUCUUCUAACCACUCCCUUGCUGAGCAUAUGAAAGACCACAUGGUGGAGAAGCCCUAUGUAUGCCCUGAAUGUGGCAGAACCUUCAGGUGGCAGUCGAAUCUUUCUAGGCACCAAGGGCUCCACAGACAUGCAAAAAAAGUUGCGGUACAUCCGCAAAGGCUCGGAGCUGCUGCCGAGGAGACAGGGAAGAUCGGCGACAAUACUUUGCAGCUGAAACCUGAGGGUCCAGGCGUUGCUUCACCGACUGGGGAGAGCUCACCGCCGCGCCCCGUUUCCAGACUGCGCCCGAGGAGCUCGCAAGGGCUGGGCGUGCCUGGGAUCAAAUCUCUUCGAGUGGUGCUGACCAAGCUGGGAAGCCCGAAGAAAAAUGACCACCACGCUUGCCCCGAGUGUGGAUUCAAAUCGGAUUGGCUCUCAGAAGUCAUUCGACACACGAGGACCCAUACAGGAGAAAGGCCCUACACAUGCCCUGACUGCGGGAAGGCCUACCGCUGGAUCUCAAACCUUUCCCGGCACCGGAAAAGUAAUAUCUGCUCAACUAAUUCCGCUUCCCCUGAUGGCUCCACCGAGGAAUCUCAGCAGGCGGAUGGAGAUACAGAACUGCCAGAAAUGAAGGAUUAUCUGCAGAAAAUAAUCAAAUUGGAAGACAUCUGUGUGUCGACCACAGAAGCAUCCUCACAGAGCAUCUCACUGAAGCAAGAGCCUUGUGAGAAUGAGCCCGAAUCAUGGGGUCAUCAAGGAACAGUGCAGGACAGCUCCCAACCACCGCAGAUAACGACUGAGAAGGAACCCACAGACUUCCAGAAAAAACACGCCUGCUCAGAAUGUGGAUAUCAUGCUGAAAGCUUAUCAGAAAUCGUUAUACAUACAAAAACUCAUAUCGGAGAAAAAACUUUUGAAUGUCCCGACUGUGGGAAAGCCUUCCGGUGGUGGUCAAAUCUUUUGAAACACCGGCAAGUCCACCUGUCCUACCAACAAGCUCCCGCCCUCGAGACUUCAGAGGUUCCCAGUCCGUCGGUUGCCGAAUGUGACGUCAUCCUCAGUGAUGAGGAGGAGUUAAUUAACAUCCUGGCGAAGAAUCCUCAGCGGGGAGGGACUAAACUGGAAGGCAGGCGGGGGCCGCUGUCGGGCGAGCUCUCAGCUGCUGCUUCUCUGGACUUUGAGGCUUCUGUGGGCAGUGCCACGUCUAAAGGGGAGACGGAAGGGAACACGAGGCCUGCUCGGUUUCCGAGGAAUGCCGCAGCGGUGAAGGCAAACAAAUUUAAUCGCCGGGAGAGAAAACACGAAUGUCCCGACUGCGGACACAGGACCUUCUAUCUGUCCGAUUUGGUGAGGCACCAGAGAACCCACACAGGAGAGAGGCCCUACAAAUGCCCCGAAUGCAAGAAGGGCUUUUCUCAGAAAUCUUACCUCCGCAUCCACCUGAAAGUCCACACGACAUCCAGUGGCGGCCUCAUCAAUGGGAAGAAGCUUGUGAGAAGAAAAAAGAACAAUCAAAUUGAGAGAAAGCACACGUGCUCCAAAUGUGGACAUAAAACCUAUAAAUUAUCAACCCUCCUUAUGCAUAUGAAAAUACACACUGGAGAAAAGCCUUAUAAAUGCCUCGAAUGUGGACAGACAUUCAACUGGAGUUCGAAUCUUUCCAGGCACAAGAGGCUGCACCAAUUCAAGAGGGACUUCAACACCCGAAAAGCGUCCCAGCAGGAAAAGUGGAGAGAAGGCCUAGGAACUUGCUUCAGAAACCAAGCCCACCUAACCCUCUCAGGAUACAGAAAGGAACAAGUUUCCCCGACUCCACAGCACAGUUUCAGAAGCCAGACUAUUGAACCAGGUAAUAAGACUCCAGAUGUGCAGACAGAGGCAAAUCCUCCACAGGGGAAGAGAGGCGAUGGGUUACCAGCCGCAACCAACGGGGACGCCUCUGUGGUGGCAGCCCUGAGCGAGCGAUGGGGCUACAACAAGCAGCAGGAAGGGAAGAAGGACCCAGAAGGGUCUGAGGGCUCUGUUCAAGACCACGAUGGACCCGUCACGGAAAGAAAGGACAACCUAGGCAAAAAGGAAGCAGAAGUGCGGGCAAGACUGGAAAAGUUUGCGUAUUUCAAAGCAGCUUGAUUUGCAGCAGUGAGAAGCUGAAGACGUCUCCCUCCACCUCACACGGACCUUUGGCUGCUUGCUUCUGCAGAUCAAGCCCCUCUGUUAAAGGCACAGGACCAAGCAGGAUUUUAACCACGGACAACCCUACCAGGCACCCAUGGCCCCGUUUGCCCUCCGAUCUUGCGCGCUGGCAGGGUUUUGAGCAGUUGAAAUGUUCACAGACGCCCCAGAGUUCCUCAUCGUGCUCACGCUGAGACAGGGUCCUUGCAUUUAAGCCCUCCGAAGCCCAAGAUUUUAACAGCCAGUAGUUUACAGGGGUUCCAAAGCCUGCCCUGUGUUUGGCUUCAAAUUUCGCCCCCAUCCUAUCUGUCUUGUUCUGAAUUUUGGAGGAGCUACUUUAGCUUGGUGUCAUGCCUGAUCUUCCGUGGCCACAGCCUGUAAGACUCCUGCUCGGUAUAAAAUACUGUGUUUUAAUUGAUAUUUGGACACAAGGACAUGAGAACUCUGGAUGGUUGGACCAAAAGACUGUGCCGUUCCGCAUCCUAUUUUACGUUAAGCCAACCUGAUUUGGCCAGCGAGGUUUCCAGGGAGGUCUGCAAGCAAGAUCCCUUUUCUGCUGAUGACCCCAGCAAUAGCUGCUCGGACGUUUGGUGCUUUAGAACUUGACUGUUAAUUUCUUACAAACUUUCAUGGACGGCAGGGAGAAAAGUGGUUGGAAAAGCUUUGUAUAUUUUUGUCUGUGUCACGGUGCUGCUAAGGGCAUGAGUGUAGGGCCAGAUAGGGUAGCGAUCUUGCUCUGGAGUCCUAUACGUGUCUGUUCAGAGGAAAUUCCCACUCAGUUCAGUCCUAGGUAAGAGAGUUCAAGGUUGAGGCCUUAGCACUCCAUAUAUUAAAGAGUGGGAGGGGAUUAUUGUCUAUGCUAGAAUAAAACUUAAAUUUAGAGCUGCGGAGUCAUGUUUCUUGAAUAAAUGGUGACGAGCUUGGUGGAACUUGUUGACAUGAUUCUUGUUAAUAAAGAUUUUUACAACUUUGAAA